CGCUGGCGGCACGCCUAACACAUGCAAGUCGAACGAAGUAGCAAUACUUAGUGGCAGACGGGUGAGUAACAUGUAGGUAUCUGCCCUUUGGCCUGGAAUAACACGAGGAAACUUGUGCUAAUACCGGAUAAGUCUUUACGGAGAAAGCUUUAUGCACCAUUGGAUGAGCCUGCACUUGAUUAGUUUGUUGGUGGGGUAAUGGCCUACCAAGACUGUGAUCAAUAGCUGAUUUGAGAGGAUGAUCAGCCACAUUGGGACUGAGACACGGCCCAAACUCCUACGGGAGGCAGCAGUGGGGAAUCUUGCACAAUGGAGGAAACUCUGAUGCAGCGAUGCCGCGUGAGUGAAGAAGGCCUUUGGGUUGUAAAGCUCUUUCGUCGGGGAAGAAAAUGACUGUACCCGAAUAAGAAGGUCCGGCUAACUUCGUGCCAGCAGCCGCGGUAAUACGAAGGGACCUAGCGUAGUUCGGAAUUACUGGGCUUAAAGAGUUCGUAGGUGGUUGAAAAAGUUGGUGGUGAAAUCCCAGAGCUUAACUCUGGAACUGCCAUCAAAACUUUUCAGCUAGAGUAUGAUAGAGGAAAGCAGAAUUUCUAGUGUAGAGGUGAAAUUCGUAGAUAUUAGAAAGAAUACCAAUUGCGAAGGCAGCUUUCUGGAUCAUUACUGACACUGAGGAACGAAAGCAUGGGUAGCGAAGAGGAUUAGAUACCCUCGUAGUCCAUGCCGUAAACGAUGUGUGUUAGACGUUGGAAAUUUAUUUUCAGUGUCGCAGCGAAAGCGAUAAACACACCGCCUGGGGAGUACGACCGCA
This 808-nucleotide ribosomal RNA is filed under the name uncultured Pelagibacteraceae bacterium. RNAcentral's name for it is "bacterial SSU rRNA". It matches the Rfam family "Bacterial small subunit ribosomal RNA", at positions 34 to 890 of the family's 1533-position model. The record is from RNAcentral. Lineage: Bacteria; Pseudomonadati; Pseudomonadota; Alphaproteobacteria; Candidatus Pelagibacterales; Candidatus Pelagibacteraceae.